CAACCCUCAAGCCCUGGUUGCUUGGUAAUGGGGCAUCUACGGUCACCCGUAGGCCCUGAAAAACAUUGGCGGGCUUGCUGUGAACCCGAGCGUAGUACAUCAUAUCUCGCUUAGGGGCUUACAGUGGGUGUUAGCCGUUAAACCCCUUUAUUUUUAACAAGG
This 162-nucleotide unclassified non-coding RNA is filed under the name uncultured Sordariales. RNAcentral's name for it is "sequence contains ITS2". The record is from RNAcentral. Lineage: Eukaryota; Fungi; Ascomycota; Sordariomycetes; Sordariales.